Molecule: long non-coding RNA, 1525 nt
Organism: Marmota monax (woodchuck)
Lineage: Eukaryota; Metazoa; Chordata; Mammalia; Rodentia; Sciuridae
Exons: 3
Source: RefSeq, a predicted model, not a curated record
GGCAAGGGUUCAGCAUAUGUCUCCAGGAUCAUCAACAGGGGUGCCAGGGCUGACCCCAAACUACCACAAACUCCAAUGAUUCCUAAAGCUGUUGCCCUUGGAGCACAAACAACAAUAAAAAAUUAACCUGAGCUGAGAAAGAACUGUUUUAACCUUCACGAAGAACCUAUGAAAUUUUGUACCUGAUGACGGUGGGGAGCAGUUCAUUUGUAUGGGUAAGAGAACAGGUAACAGAGGCAAAAGAAAUUCCUCCUCCCAAAGUUGUCAGAAUCAUAUGCACGGUCUGCAUUUCUGGAAAGAGGAAGAGCCAGGAAAGUUAGGAAAUCUGAGAUGAAGGAAUCUUCAUUCUCCAAUUUACAAACAAAAAAUGCUUCUGUUGGAGACGUUCACAGUGUAAAAUAUACUGUGGAAAAACUGCACCGAGGAAGUUUGUGAGGACGAGAUGUGACUUAUAUGCAAAGUUCAAUUUAUGAUGAAUAAAAGUUCUGAAUAAUUGUAUUCAUUCUCUUUGCCUCUCCAGAUUUGUCAAAGGAGAAGAGAGGAUGCUGAAUUUAGGAGGAAAUCACUUUCUUUUUCUGUACAAUGUCUCUAUCCUUUGAAUGGAAGAAUCUCAUGAGAGCUUUAAACCUUGGAGGAGGCUUUGUGACAGCCAGGAAAAUGACAUCAUUGUUCAAACUCAAGAAGAGUGAAGCCUGUAGCCUGGUGUGAUGGUGCACUCCUGUAACCACAGCAUUGUAGGAGGCUAAGGAAGGAGGAUCAAAAGUUCAAAGCCAGCUUCAGCAACUUAUCAGGGGCCUAAGCAAUUUAUCAAGACCGUGGCUAAAAAUAAAACGGGCUGGGGAUGUGGCUCAAUUGUUCAAUGCCACUGGGUUCAAUCCCUGAUACCAAAGAGAGAGACUGAGGAGUGGAACCCACCAAUGUGGGAUUUUGUAAAAUAAGUUACAACACAGGAGUUCAGCAAAGCACAGUGAUGGAUAUGCUGUCACUGCUGUCACAUAUUCUCUACUGGAACCCAAAGGUUUAUUUUCUUAAGUCAAAAUAACUCCCGAAAACCAGAAUGGCAUUUGUGGUGACCUGAGAUGAGGCACAUGUGUAGACACAUAGAGUUCAAGUAUAGAUUGUCACUGAAGGUGAAGUAAUAAGACAGAGCCAUCGAGAAAAAGUAACAAUACAGUGUGGUCACAUUAGCUUAUAAUGAUAAGUCUAAACCCUACAUGUUUGCAAGGAAGUGUGAUUGGCCAAGAGAAGAAGCUCAGAGAAACUUAGAGAAGCUCAGAACACGGUGGCACCAUUUUACAGGUACUUCUUGACCAUAAUGAAGAUAAUCAUGCAUUUGAAACAAACUUUACUGACCUUUAGGUGUUUUCCAAGUACUGGAUGGCAGAAUCUGUUCUAAAUGCCCAACUUGUGUCAGUGAACACUUAGAACCCAAUUCUUCUGAUUCCUGUAGGUGCAAGCUGAAAAAUCCUCAGGAAAGUGGGAAAGAUCUUUCCUUUUUUACCCUGUCUCUCUCCUUACCUUCAGG